Non-coding RNA from Trichonephila clavipes, 73 nucleotides. The record is from the annotation of a GenBank genome assembly. NCBI's taxonomy places the organism in Eukaryota, Metazoa, Arthropoda, Arachnida, Araneae, Nephilidae.
GUCCCUGUAGCACAAUGAACAGCGCUUUGGACUUCUAAUCCAAAGGUCGUGGAUUUGAAUCCCACCUGGGAUG